AGAGUUUGAUCAUGGCUCAGAGCGAACGCUGGCGGCAGGCUUAAUACAUGCAAGUCGAGCGGGCGUAGCAAUACGUCAGCGGCAGACGGGUGAGUAACGCGUGGGAACGUGCCCUUUGGUUCGGAACAACCCAGGGAAACUUGGGCUAAUACCGAAUACGCCCUUACGGGGAAAGAUUUAUCGCCGAAGGAUCGGCCCGCGUCUGAUUAGCUAGUUGGUGAGGUAAUGGCUCACCAAGGCGACGAUCAGUAGCUGGUCUGAGAGGAUGAUCAGCCACACUGGGACUGAGACACGGCCCAGACUCCUACGGGAGGCAGCAGUAGGGAAUAUUGGACAAUGGGGGCAACCCUGAUCCAGCCAUGCCGCGUGAGUGAUGAAGGCCUUAGGGUUGUAAAGCUCUUUUGUGCGGGAAGAUAAUGACGGUACCGCAAGAAUAAGCCCCGGCUAACUUCGUGCCAGCAGCCGCGGUAAUACGAAGGGGGCUAGCGUUGCUCGGAAUCACUGGGCGUAAAGCGCACGUAGGCGGACUCUUAAGUCGGGGGUGAAAUCCUGGAGCUCAACUCCAGGACUGCCCUCGAUACUGGGAGUCUUGAGUUCGGGAGAGGUGAGUGGAACUGCGAGUGUAGAGGUGAAAUUCGUAGAUAUUCGCAAGAACACCAGUGGCGAAGGCGGCUCACUGGCCCGAUACUGACGCUGAUGUGCGAAAGCGUGGGGAGCAAACAGGAUUAGAUACCCUAGUAGUCC
RNAcentral lists this ribosomal RNA (744 nucleotides) under uncultured bacterium. Its description in RNAcentral is "bacterial SSU rRNA". It matches the Rfam family "Bacterial small subunit ribosomal RNA", at positions 8 to 796 of the family's 1533-position model. The record is from RNAcentral.